RNAcentral lists this long non-coding RNA (263 nucleotides) under Hordeum vulgare. RNAcentral's name for it is "long non-coding RNA (HVUL_LNC018815)". The record is from RNAcentral. Lineage: Eukaryota; Viridiplantae; Streptophyta; Magnoliopsida; Poales; Poaceae.
AAGGGAGACAGAGAGCAGGGGGCGACUCUUAUCCACACGAGGAGCCGUGCAAUGGCCGACACGAUGCCAUCGGUGGCCAUGGCGGCCUGGAUGGACGCCACAACUCCCUGCUCUCACUGUAGCGGGAGGUAAGAGAUGACCCACAUGGGCUGGGCUCCCCUAUGCACUAGACGCCCGAUAGUGCAAUAAGUUUUAGCCAUUUUCUUUUUAAUUAUUUCCCUUUAUUUCCUCUAAAACUUUGUAUUUUGUUGAGCUACUAAAUA